RNAcentral lists this ribosomal RNA (433 nucleotides) under uncultured bacterium. RNAcentral's name for it is "bacterial SSU rRNA". It matches the Rfam family "Bacterial small subunit ribosomal RNA", at positions 29 to 507 of the family's 1533-position model. The record is from RNAcentral.
AACGAACGCUGGCGGCAGGCCUAACACAUGCAAGUCGAGCGAGGACUUCGGUCCUAGCGGCGGACGGGUGAGUAACGCGUGGGAACGUGCCCUUUGGUACGGAAUAGCCCCGGGAAACUGGGAGUAAUACCGUAUGGUGUCUUCGAACUAAAGAUUUGUCGCCAAAGGAUCGGCCCGCGUUGGAUUAGGUAGUUGGUGGGGUAAUGGCCUACCAAGCCGACGAUCCAUAGCUGGUUUGAGAGGAUGAUCAGCCACACUGGGACUGAGACACGGCCCAGACUCCUACGGGAGGCAGCAGUGGGGAAUCUUAGACAAUGGGGGCAACCCUGAUCUAGCCAUGCCGCGUGAGUGAUGAAGGCCCUAGGGUUGUAAAGCUCUUUCAGCUGGGAAGAUAAUGACGGUACCAGCAGAAGAAGCCCCGGCUAACUCCGUG